RNAcentral lists this long non-coding RNA (1306 nucleotides) under Nicotiana benthamiana. RNAcentral describes it as "long non-coding RNA (NBEN_LNC024211)". Lineage: Eukaryota; Viridiplantae; Streptophyta; Magnoliopsida; Solanales; Solanaceae. The record is from RNAcentral.
UCCCCUUUUGACUAGCCAUCCCCGAGUGCUUAUUACAAAAUUAUUACAGUCUAGAAUGAAUAAAAGAAUAAAUUAAAAAUUAAAAAAGUACAACCAAAGAGAACCUGAUUCAGGAUUCAUGUCUGAAAUAUGAGGUAAACCAACUCCAAGAGAUCAUGAUCCAAAGCCUUUCUCCCAUUUGAGUAUGUUAGAGUUCCCUAAGAGUCUCAAAUGAACUCCGGGUAGUGUUCACACCAAAAUGUACUAACAGAUUAAGACAAGUGCAGUCUAGAAAGGGCCAGACCUCAAGUGUCCAAGUUCAGAGGGAGCUCAAGGUCUUAUGGCAAGGCUCACAAGAAGGGGGCAUAGCAUAAGACUAUGAGGGAGUGCAAGUGCAGGAAUAGAAUUCUGAGAGGGGAAAGAGGAGGGGAUGUAGUUGCAAAUAAAUACACAUAUGUGGUUCUGGGGGAAGGGAAAAUAGAAAGAGGCAAGGCAGGUUGUGGGCAUACGCAGCAAUGGAGAGUGCUAGCAUACCCCUAAGCCUGCUAGAACACACUAUUAUAGGCUAGGAUCCCAAGGGAUCAAGUUCAGUUCAUGGACAAUAGUUUGAAUAUUGUCAUGCCUUAAACCAUAGCCCUAACAUAUAGGGGUAGGGGUUUUGGGAGUCAUAAUAGAAACAAGCAGAAGGAAAUUAGCAUGCUAAUUUAAAUGUUGAACUAUACAGAAAAACAGUAAGUAGAUAUGGAUACAAAAGCAGUGAAUACACAUUAUUGUGGUGCUAAAGAUUAAAUCUAGGCUUACCAGUUUCAAAGAGACAAAUUGAUAAAAGUAGUAGGUCUUGUAAACAAGCCACAGUACAGACAAGAAGAGAGAAUAUUAUUGUGUAUAAAUGUGAUUUCAGAAAUAUUGUGAAUCAGUGCCAUGUGUUUAUGAAAGAGUCGUGCAUUUAUAGUGUGUAAAUCAGGCAGAUAUAAGGUAAGAAAACAGUUAAGGAAUUGAAUAUCAAUUAAGAAUCAAUCACACAAGACUUCUUUUAAUUAAGGAAUUAAGAUUCAAACUGUAAGAGUUAUUUGAGGAAAGAAAUCAAACAAGCACUUUGCGCAAAGCAAGCAAUUAAGGGUACAUAGAAGUUUAUUUUAGGGGAAGAGUUUUAAAAUACAUAGUUGCAUGAAUAAGGUAAGAAAAUUAAUUCGUAGUCAAUAAAUCAAGAACCAGAUAUGUUGUAAUCAAUGGUCCAUGAACAACCAAGCCAGAAAAGUUAAGGAAAGUCAAGUAACUUAAAUCGAGUCAUAGGGACAUAAGCAAAUAAGGAAAAAAGCCAAUCAAC